ACUAGGAUGGCCAACUGGUAAUGGCGUUGGACUUAAAAUCCAGUGGACGUAUGUCCUUGUUGGUUUGUUCCCUACUCCUGGUA
This 83-nucleotide transfer RNA is filed under the name Alosa alosa (allis shad). RNAcentral's name for it is "tRNA-OTHER". It matches the Rfam family "tRNA". From Rfam's summary of the family: Transfer RNA (tRNA) molecules are approximately 80 nucleotides in length. Their secondary structure includes four short double-helical elements and three loops (D, anti-codon, and T loops). Further hydrogen bonds mediate the characteristic L-shaped molecular structure. tRNAs have two regions of fundamental functional importance: the anti-codon, which is responsible for specific mRNA codon recognition, and the 3' end, to which the tRNAs corresponding amino acid is attached (by aminoacyl-tRNA synthetases). tRNAs cope with the degeneracy of the genetic code in two manners: having more than one tRNA (with a specific anti-codon) for a particular amino acid; and 'wobble' base-pairing, i.e. permitting non-standard base-pairing at the 3rd anti-codon position. The record is from RNAcentral. Lineage: Eukaryota; Metazoa; Chordata; Actinopteri; Clupeiformes; Clupeidae.